This 203-nucleotide unclassified non-coding RNA is filed under the name Hevea brasiliensis (rubber tree). The record is from RNAcentral. Lineage: Eukaryota; Viridiplantae; Streptophyta; Magnoliopsida; Malpighiales; Euphorbiaceae.
AGUUAUAUUAUUUAAUAUUUAAUACAAGCGAGAUUCACAUAAAUUAAUAGUCUAAAUGCAUUAGCCCGUGGCCUUUUCUUUGACCGAAAAACCAAAUUAGAUCGAUUAAGAUCAGUCUACAAUAAUUAAUUUGCAGGUCAAUCAAGAAUCUUAUCAACCAGGAAGCUACAAAAAAAUUUUGACAACUACUGUCUUACUUUCUG